This is an RNA transcript of Physella acuta, 2216 nucleotides long. It is a transcript of the gene named sialin, with no coding region annotated. NCBI's taxonomy places the organism in Eukaryota, Metazoa, Mollusca, Gastropoda, Physidae. The record is from RefSeq and is a predicted model, not a curated record.
UUAACAUUGUCAAGACCACUUAUUUUGUCUUUCAGAUGCAUGUGUUAGACAAGCUUUAGUCUUAUUUAAACCCUCAAUCUUUUUUUCGAAUAUUCAUUUAUGGGAUAUUGAGAAUUAAGAAGAAUUUAAAAGAGUCCUAAUUUAUGACACCAUUUUUGAAAAUUUUAAAUUAUCCAACAAUAAACGAAUGGCUGACGAACGAACACAUCUGAUUGCUAGCGGAAGCUACCGUCAUGCCAACUAUAACGGGUACAGCGACGAAAUCGAUCUCAAGGAGGACGGAGAAAAAGUGUCUCUAUGUGGCUCCUACCGUCUUGCUGUCAUUCUGUGCUGCACAUUUUCCAUGACCAUAACAUUCGCGGCCCAGGCCAGUAUGAGCUCAGCCAUGGUGUGUAUGAUGCUAGAUACCAACACUUACAAUUGGACUAGCACAAAUUGGACCAUGACAGCCAAUUCUAACACAACAAAUUGGACGACUGCGCAAAUCGUAGUUAUGGAGGAAAGUCUCAACGAUCCUUGGAAGUUUAACUGGGACAAGACAAGCCAAGGCUGGGCACUCUCAUCUUUCUUUGUUGGCUACUACAUCUCGCAGCUGCCUUCAGGCAUUGCAGCAGCAAGGUUUGGUGCCAAACGUGUGGUUGUGAUCGGGCUGAUUUUUACUUCAAUUUUCCAACUGCUAGCUGUUCCGGCAGCUUAUUUUGAUGUUGCCUGGUUGUAUGCAGAUCGAGUAUUGGCAGGGGCAAUAGAUGGCCUGCUGUAUGCCCCAACAUUUGCUCUAGUGGGUCAGUGGACACCAAGACAUGAGACGAGCUUGCUCUUUGGAAUUGUUGGAAUGGGCAUGGAGUUGGGUGAUAUGUGUGCCUAUGUUGUUUCCCUUUACUCGUGUGAGAUUCCCAUCCAGGGUGGUUGGCCUUUUGUCUUCUACACACUCUCCGGAAUGGGCCUUUUGAUAUCUGCUUUAUUCAUCGUGUUUGUCACCGACUCGCCAUUCGACAAUGCUCUGAUAUCAGAAAAAGAAAUUCAAUUUAUUGCCCAGUCAGUGCCAAGAGCCGGAAACAAAUCUAAAGAAGCUUUGAGCUCCAUACCCGUGAAAGAAAUCCUCAAGUCCAUGCCAGUUUGGGCUAUUGUUGUAUCGCAAAUCGGAUCAGACUGGAUGUAUUAUUUCAUGGUCACCGUUUCACCCACCUUUUUAAAAGAUGUUAUCAGGUUAUCAAGUUUUGAGAUUAAUCUUCUAUCUGGUUUACCAUUUCUUGGCAUUAUUCCCACUAUCUACUUAUCUGGCUACCUGAGUGAUAAAAUAGUUGCUAAAGGCAUUUUUUCAAACACAACUAUAAGGAAAAUCAAUGAUGGAGUUUGUAAACUGGUUCCAGCCGCAGCCUUAAUUGCCAUGGGAUUUUUGCCUGAAGGAUCAACUGCUGCAUCUUUUGUACUCAAUACUGUGGGAGCUAUGGCUCUAGGAUUCUGUUAUGUCAGUUGGAUGGCCAACCCUGUAGAUCUAGCACCAGCGUAUACAGGCUUCAUUGUUGGCGUCUGCGAGGUAGGAGCUGUUUGGGUUGCUAUAGUUGUACCAAUCCUGGUUGACACCAUCACAGAAGAUAAAAGCAGAGAGACAUGGCAACUGGCCUUCUACAUCAGCGCAGGUCUGCAAGUCUUCUGCUACAUCUGGUAUCUACUCUUUGGGUCAGGAGAGUUACAAGAUUGGGCAUUCAACAAGGAACAACAUGACAAGCUGCUCAAAAAGGACUUACAAAACAAUGUAGAAACGAGUGUGGAUCUUAUGGAUUCACUUAGCAAAACUAAGAAAUCAGCUCAGAAUUUUAUCUCAACUCUUUCCCUUGGUGAGUUUAAGGGUACAGCAUCAUAUGAACAAGAGAAAGCUAAUGCUAACCCUACAUCAUCAUAUGAACAAGAGAGAGCUAAUGCUAACCCUACAUCAUCAUACGAACAAGAAAAAGCUAAUGCUAUUAGCCCUACAUUAUCUUAUAAACAAGAUGAAGUGGACAAAAUAAAGGUUUAAUCUUAUCGAGCAACCUUGUCAGUCUGGAGUAGUUAAAGCAAGAGAUGUACAUAUUGUUUCUCUAUUACAUUUGGUGCCGUGGCAAUAAUAGUUUGUCAAAAGAAUCUAAGUAUUGUCAGGUCCUACUGUUGGCAGGUCCUACUGUUGUCAGGUCCUACUGUUGUCAGGUCCUACUUUUUGGUCCCAUUGUUUUUGUCAU